GAGGAGGAUCAUGUUGAAGACUGCUGUAUGUUAAUAUUGGACUUAUUAAAAAUCUCAGAGCUCUGAAACCUGCUGUCUAACUCUGCUAACAUAUUGGAAAUGGUAAAUGCAAGCAGUGAAAGACAUACCUGAAAACCAUUUGUUUACGUACAGGCAUUCUAGCAAUGACUUUUGUGGAAGUGAAAGACAGUCGUUUAUAAUUUAAGUUAAAGUCUAACUCUGUGUUACGGUGUGUUUGACCAUAACUUAAAUUAUCCCUUUAGAAUAUCCCUUUAAGAGAGAAGUUAAAAAGACUAGGACCUCUUAAUGGUGCUACUGUUACUGUCUGCAUCUAUUAAAAGUGAUAACAGAAAUACAAUGAGGUUUUAUAUUCAUCUAAGUGGAAAUUAAAUGUCGAUUUGAACUUAAAAGGAAUAGUUUCUUUGUUUUAGGUGGGGUUGCCUGGGGUACUUGUCAAUAGCUGUGGUGAGACGCCUCCAUCUCCAGUUUUAUUUUGAUAGAACUUCCUGUUUUCCUUUCCUUCCUUGUGUUCCUGGUCUGGCUUGACUUUUUUUCAGAGCACCCUCCCCUCCCCCCGGUCGCUGAGGCUGAGAGAGACUCCACACCUGCACUUCAUUGGCAAUCAUGGCUCUUGAAGAAGCCAGCAGCCCUCAGUCUCAGUGCCUGAGUAUUGUCUUCGCUCCUGACUGGUACAGACGCUUCUCCUGGCCUUCUCCUCGGAUAAGUGCUUGUGACUUUUUGCUCCCUGUGAUUCUUUGUAUGUAUUCUCACUUCCAUCUCCUCUGCUUCUCCACAGUGUCUCAACCCCACACAACAGCCAGCCAGCAAACCGGACUUUCUCUCGUGCCUUCUUCCCUGAGUUGGACAUCAAAAUUAUAUUGUUUAACUUGCUAUCUGUCUCUGUGUCUGCUUCUGGGUCCACAAAAUACACCACACACCACAAUAGCAAGUGUAUUCACCUCAGGAAAUGCAAGACAGCUCAGCCCCCUUUGCUGAGAAAUCAGCCCAGGACCUGUAACAGAAGCAAGACCAUAAGCAGCUGUAAACAGGGUUAGCUCUACCAUGUAACUUAACUCUUUCUUGCACAGUCCAGCAGAAGCAGUGCUCGAGGUGAAGGCGCUUACUCUUAUUUGGAAAUUUUUCAGGACUAUUACAUGUCAAUUACAUGACAUGUAAAUCAUACAGCCUUAUUUCAAAAAAAUAUUGAACUACUCCUUUAAGCUGGCUGAUAAAAACACUACCGGUUAGCUAUCAACCAUGAGAAAUGAGAGACUGCUUUUCAGCUGUACAAGUAAACCCAUGAUACCUGAUUUAAGUCAUUGUAGAAGGCCUCGUGAAUAGACAUGAAAAGAAGUAUGGUUCAAGAAAAGCCCUCCAUAUGUACAAACUCCAUAUAGAUGGUCAUCUACCGCUUUGUUUGGCUGUACUGUUCUUCUGCUGUCUUUGGCCUCCAUAACUUCACCUCGUAAAUU
Molecule: non-coding RNA, 1472 nt
Organism: Xyrichtys novacula (pearly razorfish)
Lineage: Eukaryota; Metazoa; Chordata; Actinopteri; Labriformes; Labridae
Source: the annotation of a GenBank genome assembly